UACGUAGGGGGCAAGCGUUAUCCGGAUUUACUGGGUGUAAAGGGAGCGUAGACGGCUGGCCAAGUCUGAAGUGAAAGCCCGGGGCCCAACCCCGGAACUGCUCUGGAAACUGUGAAGCUGGAGUGCAGGAGAGGUAAGCGGAAUUCCUGGUGUAGCGGUGAAAUGCGUAGAUAUCAGGAGGAACACCGGUGGCGAAGGCGGCCUGCUGGACUGCAACUGACGUUGAGGCCCGAAAGCGUGGGGAGCAAACAGG
This 253-nucleotide ribosomal RNA is filed under the name uncultured Eubacteriales bacterium. RNAcentral describes it as "uncultured Clostridiales bacterium partial 16S ribosomal RNA". It matches the Rfam family "Bacterial small subunit ribosomal RNA", at positions 524 to 776 of the family's 1533-position model. Lineage: Bacteria; Bacillati; Bacillota; Clostridia; Eubacteriales. The record is from RNAcentral.